UAAUACAGAGGGUGCGAGCGUUAAUCGAAGUUACUGGGCGUAAAGGGCGCGUAGGCGGUCAUAAGAGUGGAAUGUGAAAGCCCUGGGCUUAACCUAGGAAGUGCAUACCAAACGUUGUGACUGGAGUAUGAGAGAGGGUGGCGGAAUUUCCGGUGUAGCGGUGAAAUGCGUAGAGAUCGGAAGGAACGUCAAUGGCGAAGGCAGCCACCUGGCUCAAUACUGACGCUGAGGCGCGAAAGCGUGGGGAGCGAACAGGAUUAGAUACCCUGGUAGUCCACGCUGUAAACGAUGAGGACUAGAUGCUGGGAGGGAGACCUUUCAGUAUCGAAGCAAACGCGAUAAGUCUUCCGCCUGGGAAGUACGGCCGCAAGGUUG
RNAcentral lists this ribosomal RNA (375 nucleotides) under uncultured bacterium. Its description in RNAcentral is "bacterial SSU rRNA". It matches the Rfam family "Bacterial small subunit ribosomal RNA", at positions 521 to 896 of the family's 1533-position model. The record is from RNAcentral.